UACGGAGGAUGCAAGCGUUAUCCGGAAUGAUUGGGCGUAAAGCGUCCGCAGGUGGCUGUGUAAGUCUGCUGUUAAAUAGUGAGGCUCAACCUCAUAAAAGCAGUGGAAACUACACGGCUAGAGUACGUUCGGGGCAGAGGGAAUUCCUGGUGUAGCGGUGAAAUGCGUAGAGAUCAGGAAGAACACCAGUGGCGAAGGCGCUCUGCUAGGCCGUAACUGACACUGAGGGACGAAAGCUAGGGGAGCGAAUGGG
Molecule: ribosomal RNA, 253 nt
Filed under: uncultured bacterium
Lineage: Bacteria
Description: partial 16S ribosomal RNA
Rfam family: Bacterial small subunit ribosomal RNA
Source: RNAcentral